This 21-nucleotide microRNA is filed under the name Ananas comosus (pineapple). RNAcentral describes it as "microRNA s0823_c113a". Lineage: Eukaryota; Viridiplantae; Streptophyta; Magnoliopsida; Poales; Bromeliaceae. The record is from RNAcentral.
AUAGACCUAAGAAGACAUGAC